UACGUAGGGGGCAAGCGUUGUCCGGAAUCAUUGGGCGUAAAGAGCGCGUAGGCGGCCCAGUAAGUCCGCUCUGAAAGUCAGGGGCUCAACCCCUGGAUGCGGGUGGAUACUGCUGGGCUAGAGUCCGGAAGAGGUGAGUGGAAUUCCUGGUGUAGCGGUGAAAUGCGCAGAUAUCAGGAGGAACACCGAUGGCGAAGGCAGCUCACUGGGACGGUGACUGACGCUGAGGCGCGAAAGCGUGGGGAGCAAACAGG
Molecule: ribosomal RNA, 254 nt
Filed under: uncultured bacterium
Lineage: Bacteria
Description: partial 16S ribosomal RNA
Rfam family: Bacterial small subunit ribosomal RNA
Source: RNAcentral